This 507-nucleotide ribosomal RNA is filed under the name fungal clone UUF-115. Its description in RNAcentral is "SSU rRNA". It matches the Rfam family "Eukaryotic small subunit ribosomal RNA", at positions 240 to 743 of the family's 1831-position model. Lineage: Eukaryota; Fungi. The record is from RNAcentral.
GCUCCUUGGUGAUUCAUAAUAACUUUAACGAAUCGGCAUGGCCUUGUGCCGGCGAUGGUUCAUUCAAAUUUCUGCCCUAUCAACUUUCGAUGGUAGGAUAGUGGCCUACCAUGGUUUCAACGGGUAACGGGGAAUUAGGGUUCUAUUCCGGAGAGGGAGCCUGAGAAACGGCUACCACAUCCAAGGAAGGCAGCAGGCGCGCAAAUUACCCAAUCCCGACACGGGGAGGUAGUGACAAUAAAUACUUGAUACAGGGCUCUUUUGAGUCUUGUAAUUGGAAUGAGUACAAUUUAAAUCCUUUAACGAGGAACAAUUGGAGGGCAAGUCUGGUGCCAGCAGCCGCGGUAAUUCCAGCUCCAAUAGCGUAUAUUAAAGUUGUUGCAGUUAAAAAGCUCGUAGUUGAACCUUGGGCCUGGCUGGCCGGUCCGCCUCACCGCGUGCACUGGUCCGGCCGGGCCUUUCCUCCUGGGGAGCCGCAUGCCCUUCACUGGGUGUGWCGGGGAACCA